Molecule: non-coding RNA, 3056 nt
Organism: Solanum lycopersicum (tomato)
Lineage: Eukaryota; Viridiplantae; Streptophyta; Magnoliopsida; Solanales; Solanaceae
Source: RefSeq, a predicted model, not a curated record
UGUAACUGUGGGUUGAUAAUGGCUGGUUGCAUUUCAGUUAGGUUGAACUCAUAAAUUCUCCACAAUGCUUCUAGUGGAGACACCCAACGUGCAUCCUGAAAGGUUUUGAUUUCAUCUAUAAUUUUUUUGCCAUAGUCAGAUUCAAUGUACACAACAUAUUUAUCGUGUCCUUUUGAUAUAUAUUUGUAAAGAUAUUUUAUUGCUUUAACUCCUGAGCAUACCUCAACAUUAAUGUAACAAUUAUAUCUCAUCAACAAAUAGGGAUUAUAAGGUACAACCCAUUGGUUAUUCAUCUUCGUUCCACGGACUUCACUUGUUCUCCCAUCAUUUUUUCGUUUGUAAAUUGGAUAUCCAUCCUUUCCUUGUAUUGUCUUGCUGUUGAAUGUUCGGGGGUAGUUAAACUUACAUCGGCCAUCUUUCAUGCAGGGGCUUGUCUUGCGUUUUCCCCCACAAGGUCCAUGCAUCAUAUGUUUGAGUGUUCGUGUACAACAAUAUCUCUUUCAAACGGUAUAUUUGGAUUAUUGCCAUCCACCCAGAUUGCCGCCACCUGAUCUACUGAUGAUGUGUUAUACACUCGUUGAUCUAAUGAAGCAUUUAGAGCUAUGCGUAUUUCUAGAUUCUGAUAGCCCGUAUGUUCUUUAAGCUGUGAGAAGAAUUCUGCAUAUGGAUUUUUCUGCAUGAUUUUUCUUAAUUUCCUCAUGACUCCCUCUGAUAAAUUGGUAUUUUGUAGUACGGACAUUCUAUUUGCUAAUUCAUUGUCUGUAUCUUAGAAGUUUAGUUGAAAAUAACAAGGUCUGUCGUUCUUCGGGAUUAAUGAUGGUAGAUCAUGGUCUACCUGUCCUUGUGCCUUGAAACUGUAUACUCCUCUCGUGGAAGAUGUAAGUCUUUAUCUAGCUUUACUCCAAAUGAUGUAAAAGCAAAUAUGCUAUUAUAUGCUCUUAUAUUUUUCCUAAAUAACUUUGCUUCUUCCGAUGCUGCCACAAAUAACUCAUAAUAUUCAUCAGCCACUUCAUUAGGUGCUAAUUUGAUAUAGCCACCUGCGCAAUAGAAUGUUGGCGGCUCAUAUUCAAACCUUCGAGCAUGACGGUAGGUACAAUCUUCUUUUUUUCCAGUUUGUGAGUUGUUAUCAUUGAGAAAUUCCUAUGAAGUACCCCUAUACAACAGAUCACAUUAAUAUUUUUUAGUAAAUCAUUAUUAACUGGUGACCCUUUCGUAUAGACUAUUGUGUUGAAUAUACCUCCUUCGUAGUUGUCUCAGAUAUAGCUAUUAGCUUCUUAUUUAUUUAUUUUUCAUUUUUUUCACUUGUGGUUCUUUAAUGUUGCCAUCUUCUAUUUGAUUUGUUGCUGCCACAUAUUUUUGCGCACUUCGCAACGCCCUUUCAAUAUAUGUAAGUAUUUUACGCUUCGUUACUGUUGCAAAUGUGAUGUAAUCAUGUUAUAAUUUUGUCUCUUAAGUAAGUUUGUAAUUUGUAUUUUUCUGUAGAACUGAUCAUUUGGUCAAUAUACCUCUUGUUUUAGGCUGUUCAUUCUGUUGAUCUGGCAUGUUAAAUUGAAAUGCAUUUGCUGUAAUGUUCUGUUGUUUGCAAUGAUUUGAAUUUGUAAACUCUGUAGUUGAUACUUUCAUACUGUCUGGUAGUGUACCUGCAAGUUGUUCAUUCUGUGUUAGAUCAUUAUUAACUUCCUUCGAGAUGUUAUGGUAUGUCAAUUUGGUUGGUUAGUUGUUGUAAUACGUACGUUUUGUGAUAAAAUGAGUGGUAUAUGAUAAUAUUUGUACAUUAUAAAAGCUAAGUGACAAAGUGUUGUGUGAAACAAUAGAAAACACAUUAGCCUAAUGUGUUGCCAGCCCCCCAAAUAUUUGAAAGGUUGAUAACAUCAAUUUUCCAACAAAAAUAUGAUCUUCGGUAGACAAUUGUAUAUUUAUCCCCUAAGAUAGAGCAACUAUUUUUCAGCCACCAUGGACCAAGUUGCAGUUGUGUAAUUGUUUUUUUCUUCUUGCACGAUGCUUAAUGAUAAAUCAUUAUCGGUUUCAGGCAAACAGGUCAAUCUUUGAAUAUGUUGCGAAAUUUAUGAUGAACUUACAAUUAAUAAUUUGCUGAUGUGCCGGAUUAAUAAAAAAUGUAGGAGUUUGCAAGUAGAUUCUAACCAAAACAGAGGAGCGUUGAAAUUGAUCCUCCGACCGCUGAGUAAACAAUUAUGUGACUGCUUUACAAUGUUUUGAUACUUUGUACGGAUAGAUAUGUAUCGUCUACAGUAUUGAUCUGCAAGAACUUGAUUAAGUUGUAUUGUUUAGUAAUUUUUAAUAAUAUAAAUAGGGUGGUAAUGCAUUUGAUGUUGAUGUUUCGUUUGGGGAAUUGGUUGGAACGGUUGAUGAUAUAUGUUUCAAGAAAGAUCACAAUUUAAUCAGGCAGUUGCAAUGGUUGAUAGAGGUUAUGACUUUCUGCAGAAGUGUUGUUGGUCGGUGAUGGGUUUUAUUAAUUUGCUACAUUGUAUAUUUUUAGGGGUUUAGUACGUUUAUUGGUGAGGUUUGGUGGGAGUAUAAAGUUUGAGACCAUAGGUCAUGGGCUUUUAUGUAAGCAAAGCAUGUGAUAUACUUUAUAUAUUUCUUAAAUGUAAUUUGCUUCAUAGAAAGGUAUAUAAUACUUAAUAUCUCGUAAUGUCGUUCUACUUUGACAUAUAUAACUAACAAUGUCAUAUUAAUGUCAAUUAUAAAUUAGUUUAUAUCUUUUAUAUCAGUAAUAUAAUAUAAGUCAAUUAAAUUACUGAUCCAAUUUAUAUUUUUUAAAUGUUAUACCAAAAAAAAAUCUCACCUAGACUAAUAUACAAGUGUUGUAAUGAAAUACCUUUUGACUUUGCAGAAUUUUUUAAAUUGAUGAUGAAGGAAUGUAACUUAUAGUCGAACAAGUUCAACAUCAUAAUGGUUAUUUUGAUACUGAUCUAGUGGGCGAUACAUAGAAAAUAUCGAGAAGCAACUCUUGCAUUUUUGUAAAUAUGCUCAUAAUUCAAUUUGAUAUUUAUUGUCAGAGGGGAUAACUUUAUAUAUCAAAGCUAUGUUUUAAA